UGGCGGCAUGCCCAACACAUGCAAGUCGAACGGUAACGCGGAGAGCUUGCUCUCUGGCGACGAGUGGCGGACGGGUGAGUAACGCGUGGGAAUCUGCCCAGUAGUGGGGGACAACCCGAGGAAACUCGGGCUAAUACCGCAUACGCUCUACUGAGGAAAGCGGGGGAUCUUCGGACCUCGCGCUAUUGGAUGAGCCCGCGUCGGAUUAGCUUGUUGGUGGGGUAACGGCUCACCAAGGCGACGAUCCGUAACUGGUCUGAGAGGACGAUCAGUCACACCGGAACUGAGACACGGUCCGGACUCCUACGGGAGGCAGCAGUGGGGAAUAUUGGACAAUGGGGGCAACCCUGAUCCAGCAAUGCCGCGUGUGUGAAGAAGGCCUGCGGGUUGUAAAGCACUUUCAGCAGAGAAGAAAAGCCUGGGGCUAAUAUCCCCGGGUCUUGACGUAACCUGCAGAAGAAGCACCGGCUAACUCCGUGCCAGCAGCCGCGGUAAU
This 496-nucleotide ribosomal RNA is filed under the name uncultured bacterium. RNAcentral's name for it is "bacterial SSU rRNA". It matches the Rfam family "Bacterial small subunit ribosomal RNA", at positions 37 to 524 of the family's 1533-position model. The record is from RNAcentral.